RNAcentral lists this ribosomal RNA (446 nucleotides) under uncultured bacterium. RNAcentral's name for it is "bacterial SSU rRNA". It matches the Rfam family "Bacterial small subunit ribosomal RNA", at positions 329 to 792 of the family's 1533-position model. The record is from RNAcentral.
UCCCAGACUCCUACGGGAGGCAGCAGUGGGGAAUAUUGCACAAUGGGGGAAACCCUGAUGCAGCGACGCCGCGUGAGUGAAGAAGUAAUUCGUUAUGUAAAGCUCUAUCAGCAGGGAAGAAAAUGACGGUACCUGAGUAAGAAGCCCCGGCUAACUACGUGCCAGCAGCCGCGGUAAUACGUAGGGGGCAAGCGUUAUCCGGAUUUACUGGGUGUAAAGGGAGCGUAGACGGCAGUGCAAGUCUGGAGUGAAAGGCGGGGGCUCAACCCCCGGACUGCUCUGGAAACUGUACGGCUGGAGUGCAGGAGAGGUAAGUGGAAUUCCUAGUGUAGCGGUGAAAUGCAUAGAUAUCACGCAGAACCCCGAUUGCGAAGGCAGCGUACCGGCGCCCAACUGACGCUGAAGCACGAAAGCGUGGGUAUCGAACAGGAUUAGAUACCCCAGUA